Long non-coding RNA from Ictalurus punctatus (channel catfish), 1824 nucleotides. The record is from Ensembl. NCBI's taxonomy places the organism in Eukaryota, Metazoa, Chordata, Actinopteri, Siluriformes, Ictaluridae.
AAGAGUUUGGGGAAGAACCACAUAUGGGUGUGAUGGUCAAGUUUCCAUGUACUUUUGGCCAUAUAGCGUAUAAUCAAUGGAAAGCAGCCAAGUUCUGAGUUACAAGUCGGGUGGGUUUUUAUUGUCAUUCCUCUAUGUAACUUGUAUACACUGGAACGAAAUGGCGUUUCUUCAGGACCAUGGUGCAACAUGGAACAGUACGCAAGACUAUAUAAAGUGCAAAUACACAACAGUGUGAGAUGAGUGCAAAACAAUUAAUACACAGGACAGUAAAUACACAGAAAAUGGACUGUAAACUGUAAGCUAUUGUGUAAAGUAGCAGCACAAGUAUAGCAGCAAUACUGGAGGCAAAAUUGAGUUCCACAGUAUAAAGAUGAAGCUAUGUAAAGUGCAGUAUGCAGUAGUACUGAGUCUUAAUGGGUUAGUGCAUGUACAGUGGUAUGAGUCUUACUGGGUUAGUGUAUGUACAGUGGUAUGAGUCUUACUGGGUUAGUGUAUGUACAGUGGUAUGAGUCUUACUGGGUUAUGUAUGUACAGUGGUAUGAGUCUUACUGGGUUAGUGUAUGUACAGUGGUAUGAGUCUUACUGGUUUAGGUGUUCAACUAGCCCAGGUGAGUGUUGGGUGUUGAGUAAUCUGACUGCCUCAGGGAAGAAACUGUUGCAGAGUCUGCUGGUGGAGGCAGGGAUGCUCCUGUACCUUCUGCCAGUGUGAAGAGUCCAUGAGACGGGUGAGAGGGGUCGUCCGCAAUAGUGGUGGCUUUGCAGAUGCAGUGGUUUUUGAAGGAGGUCUCGAUGAUGGGUAGAGAGCCCCCGAUGCAGCACUAGAGACCCUCGCUGUUGGGUCUUGUGGUCAAAGUCUGUGCAGAUCCCAUACCACACAGUGAGACAGCUGGUCUGGACGCGCUCUAUCGUCCCUCACAAAUUUGUUAACAUUUACCUUUAAAAAUUUCGUACAUUACUAACAAUUUUGCAUGCACAUACUCUGUGUGAUGCUGGUCUCAUCUAGUGUAGUCUGCAUAUGAUGUAUUUUUUUCUUAGUGUAUUCCGAUCCCAGAUCCUUGUGGUACUGAUUUUCAGUCCUAGGUAAUCAUAGUGUAAUUAAUGCUCUAGGGCGUUGUUUCUUGCAGUAAAAUGGUGUUUGCUUUUCUGAGAUCUGGCUUUCUUUUGGAAGAUGAAAAUGUUGGUCUUGUCUCGAUUUUCAGCAGGCCCACAGUAUUGCUCCAGCAGGUCCAGGUGCCGUUGUAACCCAUGUUCAGGGGAUGACAUCAGACCCUGGUUGUACAGGAACUGCAGAUUUUUCUAGUAACACCAAUAACAUGUUAUUUUCAAUUCAAUUUUAUUUGUACAGCGCUUUUUCCAAUGGUCAUUGUCUCAAAGCAGCUUUACAGAAAUAUAUUUCUGUAAAAUAUAUAUUGUAUCAGUGAUGUACGCACCCUGGAGGUGGAUUGAGGAAAGGUAGACGGUAAUUACUAACUAUCUUUCUUUUUUUUUUUCAUCCAUCCAUCCAUCUUCUACCGCUUACUCCUUCUUCAGGGUCACGGGGAACCUGGAGUCUAUCCCAGGGAGCAUCGGGCACAAGGCGGGGUACACCCUGGACAGGGUGCCAGUCCAUCGCAGGGCACAAUCACAUACACACUCACACACCCAUUCAUACACUACGGACAUUUUAGACACACCAAUCAGCCUACUAUGCAUGUCUUUGGACUGGGGGAGGAAACUGGAGUACCCGGAGGAAACCCCCGCAGCACGGGGAGAACUCUGCAAACUCCGCACACACAGGGCCCUGGCGGGAAUCAAACCCCGGACCCUGGAGGUGUGAGGCAA